This 253-nucleotide ribosomal RNA is filed under the name uncultured bacterium. RNAcentral's name for it is "partial 16S ribosomal RNA". It matches the Rfam family "Bacterial small subunit ribosomal RNA", at positions 524 to 776 of the family's 1533-position model. The record is from RNAcentral.
UACAGAGACUGCAAGCGUUAUUCGGAUUCACUGGGCGUAAAGGGUGCGCAGGCGGCCGAGUGUGUGAGGCGUGAAAGCCCGGGGCUUAACCCCGGAAUUGCACCUCAAACUACACGGCUAGAGCAUUGGAGAGGGUAGCAGAAUUCAUGGUGUAGCAGUGAAAUGCGUAGAUAUCAUGAGGAAUACCAGAGGCGAAGGCGGCUACCUGGACAAUUCCUGACACUGAGACACGAAGGCCAGGGGAGCAAACGGG